UUAAAGGCCUUUUUCUUCACAGGAGAAUGGGAUGGAGCUGAACAGGAGGCUCACCAUCAUUGACAGCCAGUUGAGAAGGUCUGAACUCACACGGAAACAUCUGGAGAUAUCCAACAAGAAGCUACUUGGCUUUGCACAGAAUGUCCACAAAGUUCUCCCUAAUACCAACUUAUUUGGGAUUGAAAGUGGGUGCGCACAAGCGUCUCCAGUGACCGACAGCCCCGACACACCCUCCCCGAUCCCAGACCCCACCUGCCAACUCGCAGCUGAGGCCAAAGUGCUCGUAGAUGGUGUCUGCUCACUUUGCACUGAGGACCACACAUUAGUGCAGUACGUAGAGGGAGACGUUGUGAAGGCUGAAGAGGACUGUGAUUCCGACCUCAUUCAGUGGCCACAACCUCCUGUCCUCGGGGCUCCUGCAGUAGAGCGAAGAGGUCAGUAGAGCAUCUGGGAUGGACAGACAAACUGGGCUCAUUCAGAACACCAAGGUCAAUCUGCAACUAUACCGUGGAAAAUAAGAGACUGUGAAGAUUUGCGGUGUGGUUUGUACUCUUUCAAGCAGUUAUCAGACGCUUGAGCUCUACUGAUCAAACUCAUACUCAUUUUUUAAAGCAGUCCGUGUACAUAUUUAACAUGUAGCAGUACUGAGUGUCAUUACAUAAAGGCAGAAACCAACCGAGGGAAUUCAAAUCUGAAACACAGACGUCACUGUUAACAGCAGAGGUGACUUUGAGAUGCUCAAAUGUGAUUUCAACCGUGUCUUAAUAACACUUAUAGCAGAUGAAGCAGAACCUCUCUAUUAGAGUUAGGUAUAUUAUACAGUACAUGUAUUACAUUUCACUUAGGGAUCUUCGGGACAGUCCCCACUCUUCAUCAUUUGAUAUGAUGCUUAUUUGUAUCUGUUCUGAGAAGUGCUAUGAUGUUUUAAAGAUUUAAUAUUUUCGGUCCAAAUCUUUUAUUAUUCAGAGACGCGUAGACACGCUCGCUUCUAAGUAUGUGAGCGGUUGCCGUCAUAAACCUUGUAAAUCUCACCGUCGAACCCUUCGAUGUCCUCUUCAUGUCUUUGCCGAUCAUGUCAGUCUACGCUGGGACGCAUUUGCGGUGCAGGUCAGUCCAAUGUCACCCAGCAUCCACUGCAUUACGAUCAGUUAUGGUCUGUUAAGUGCUUUGGGGGGAUCCUUCAUGGUUCGUUUCGUUGAUGGACGUUGAUUGCUCCAUCUCGGCAUCUUUGGGACAAUACUGAUUGUUCUAGGGGGGGGUUUCUUGUCAUGACACUGGUGUUGAGUAAUGGGAGUCAUAUUGCAGUGUUUCACCCCGAAUGCAUCCAUUCAGCUGAACAAUGCACAUGGUUCGGGUUACUGUUUUCAUAAGCACACUGUAUUUGGCUGUUUUGUCUUGCCGUAUAGGAUCUACAGUCACUUAUAUCAAUGUGUAAUAAGCUGGUGUCAUUCAUUUCCUGAGGACAGAGGUGUACGGUUAUGCAGAUGGUUUGUUGAUAUUAAUAACAGCACAUGCUUUGCAAAUGCUGACAUGUAGUCCUGUGAUUUAACUAGAUUGCAUCAUAUGUGUGGCCUAAAUAUCUUUCUUUUAAUGUUUUUAUUAAAGUCGGAACA
RNAcentral lists this long non-coding RNA (1613 nucleotides) under Sinocyclocheilus anshuiensis. RNAcentral's name for it is "lncRNA (ENSSANG00000015976.1)". The record is from RNAcentral. Lineage: Eukaryota; Metazoa; Chordata; Actinopteri; Cypriniformes; Cyprinidae.